GCGGCCGUAAUUCAGUGGCCGAAUGCCAGCUUCCCAAGCUGGACGUCGCCGGUUCGAAUCCGGUCGGCCGCUCCA
Molecule: transfer RNA, 75 nt
Filed under: Candidatus Rokuibacteriota bacterium
Lineage: Bacteria; Candidatus Rokuibacteriota
Description: Candidatus Rokubacteria bacterium tRNA-Gly
Rfam family: tRNA
About the family: Transfer RNA (tRNA) molecules are approximately 80 nucleotides in length. Their secondary structure includes four short double-helical elements and three loops (D, anti-codon, and T loops). Further hydrogen bonds mediate the characteristic L-shaped molecular structure. tRNAs have two regions of fundamental functional importance: the anti-codon, which is responsible for specific mRNA codon recognition, and the 3' end, to which the tRNAs corresponding amino acid is attached (by aminoacyl-tRNA synthetases). tRNAs cope with the degeneracy of the genetic code in two manners: having more than one tRNA (with a specific anti-codon) for a particular amino acid; and 'wobble' base-pairing, i.e. permitting non-standard base-pairing at the 3rd anti-codon position.
Source: RNAcentral